RNAcentral lists this ribosomal RNA (442 nucleotides) under uncultured bacterium. RNAcentral describes it as "partial 16S ribosomal RNA". It matches the Rfam family "Bacterial small subunit ribosomal RNA", at positions 338 to 795 of the family's 1533-position model. The record is from RNAcentral.
CCUACGGGGGACAGCAGUGGGGAAUAUUGGGCAAUGGGCGCAAGCCUGACCCAGCAACGCCGCGUGAAGGAAGAAGGCUUUCGGGUUGUAAACUUCUUUUAAGAGGGAAGAGCAGAAGACGGUACCUCUUGAAUAAGCCACGGCUAACUACGUGCCAGCAGCCGCGGUAAUACGUAGGUGGCAAGCGUUGUCCGGAUUUACUGGGUGUAAAGGGCGUGUAGCCGGGCUGACAAGUCAGAUGUGAAAUUCCGGGGCUCAACCCCGGACCUGCAUUUGAAACUGUUGGUCUUGAGUAUCGGAGAGGCAGGCGGAAUUCCUAGUGUAGCGGUGAAAUGCGUAGAUAUCAGGAGGAACACCGGGGGCGAAGGCGGCCUGCUGGACUGCGACUGACGUUGAGGCCCGAAAGCGUGGGGAGCAAACAGGAUUAGAUACCCGGGUAGUC